This 262-nucleotide ribosomal RNA is filed under the name uncultured bacterium. RNAcentral's name for it is "partial 16S ribosomal RNA". It matches the Rfam family "Bacterial small subunit ribosomal RNA", at positions 524 to 777 of the family's 1533-position model. The record is from RNAcentral.
GACGUAGGGGGCAAGCGUUGUUCGGAAUUAUUGGGCGUAAAGCGCUCGUAGGCGGGACUGUAAGUCCGUGUUGAAAGACCUCGGCUCAACUGAGGGACCGGCUCGGAUACUAUAGUUCUUGAGGCAAUCAGAGGGUGAUGGAAUUCCCGGUGUAGCGGUGAAAUGCGUAGAUAGUCGGGAGGAACACCAGGUGGCGAAGGCGAAUCACCUGGGGUUGUUCGUGACGGCUGAGGGAGCGAAAAGCUAGGGGGAGCAAAACGGG